This 5712-nucleotide long non-coding RNA is filed under the name Panax ginseng (ginseng). RNAcentral's name for it is "long non-coding RNA (PGIN_LNC005917)". Lineage: Eukaryota; Viridiplantae; Streptophyta; Magnoliopsida; Apiales; Araliaceae. The record is from RNAcentral.
AUGGGAGGAUGAAUAAUGGGCUGGGUAGCAGUGCUGACAAAUUAAUUACUAAUGUUGUUGCAGUUAACCAUCUCUCCCUCUUUCUUUGACUAUAUAUUUCAGACUUUGUGUUUGUAUAUUUUUGUUAUGUGAAGUUUUAUUUUUUGUUUGUAAUUUGCAGACAAAUACUGAUACUUCGGUAGCAUCUACAACAUCUAAACCUGGGUAAGCUUCCUUUUCUGCAUAUGCAAUUAUAAGUAAUGUGUUUCUUGCUUUCUAGCUCAACAAGUUUAUAUCUUCUCAAGAAUUUUAUUAUUAUUAUCAUUAUUUUAUUUUUUAUUUUACUCUUUACAAGAGGUAAUGCAAUUUUCAUAGUGAUAGCUUGAAAGAAAGUUGAAUUUAUUUAUUAUUCAUUUCGGUAUAAAUGUUUUUUUUGUUUAUUAUUUAGUCUGUGUUAAGCUGCCAAGACAUAAAAGGUCCAAGAUGUUUUCACUUUUUGAGGAAAUGAUGACAAAGGGUAUUGAACCUCAUGGAAUUGUUUAUAGUUAACGUCAUUUAUUUGUUGUUGGUGGUAUAUAAGCGAAGUUCAUUUCGUAUUUGGCUGACCAAAUUCGCUUCAUUUCAUAUUGAGAUUGAGAAGACGGAGCACUGAAUUUGCGGCUUAUUAUUAUUAUUAUGCAAAAUUAUGUGAGCUAAAUUUUAAUUGUAUUUUUUAGUAUGAUUUGUUUCUUUUGCUGCAACUGAAAUUUAGGAGUCUGUAGUGUAAAGAGUUGUUGGUCAGAAGAAGAAAUUCGUCACCUACAACGGCGUGUUGUGGGCGGAAAAUUAAUACGACAAGGUAUAUACUUCUACAACAUCAAUUUGCAAUUGCCUUUGAAUUGCGAGUCUCUCUCUAUAAAUCCCCUUAUUUCUUAUCUCAAAGUCGUCAUAAGGUAGAGUUUAGAGGAUUUAACCAUUAUCUAAUAGGACAUGCAAAUUCACACAAAAAAAUGUUGUAUGGUGAAAGACCAAGUACACAUUUUAGGAAUUUUAUUUAUUAUUUUUUUAUGCUUAUUCUUCAGAAUUUUAGUAGUUUUGAUUGUAUUGAUAUCACAUAUAUGAUUCGUUUUCCUUACAAGAGUUUGAGGAGCAGUGAGUACAAGGUAAUCACAUAUAUGAUUUACUUUUGUUUUUGUUUGGUUAAAAGCAGAAGUGGGUGUGAGAUCAUUGAGUUGAAAAAGAAAGAAAAAUGGUUGAAGGUGGAAAUCGGAAGGAUGACUCAUUGGUGAUAAAUAUGUUGGGAAAAGUAUGCCAAAAAUAAUCUAUAUCCCAGGAAUUACUUUUCUGACUUUGUGCAAUUAAAUAUGAAAUCAACAAAACCAAUUAUGAGAACAAAAAUCACAAAUAACUAUCUACAAGCAAGACACCAAAUUUACAUGAAAAACCCUCUAAAAUUAAGAGGUAAAAACCACGGGUCAAACUCCGAAUCUCCACUAUAUCACUAAUAAUGGGCUUACAAUAAUCCUCUCAAGUUUUAUGCCCUAAAACUUGAGGUUACACAAUAAAUUGAGAUAGUACAAAUUUACCUUUAAUUAGGUUGAGAAACCUAAUUAUCUUUACCACCCAAAAAACACCCCAAGCAAUAAAGUCUUCAAGCUUUCAAUUGAACGGAGAUGAUGGCGGAUACACACGAACAACAAACUGUAAUUCUCUCAAUUUAUUCUUUUGGUAUCUUUUUACUACCAAGUUUAUCUCAUAUCUCAUGUAUCAAAUAAGACUCCCUCAUAGCCUUAUUUAUAGUACUCUUCUUAAUCCAUUCCUAUUAUGAAUUAGAAACAAUUUAUUCUCCUAAUCAAAUUAGGGAUCACAUCUCCUUGUCUUGGUCAUCAACCACUCUAACAAGUAAAUCCUUUUUCAACUUGGUUUCCUUUCAUGGAAUCUCCAAUUCCAAUAUUGCUUCCAUUAACUCAAUUUCUAAUUGGAUUAAUAUCAAGUAAACCCAUUUACUUGCUCACAAAGAAAAUUAAUUCUUUUAUAUCUUGGAUUCUAUCUCAUGGGUGAGGACCCACACCCAACAAUCUCCCCCUCCUAACCCAUGAGAGGAGGGAUCACCAACCACAACUCCUUACUCAGAGUUAAUUCCAACGAUGUAUUGGCUCAACUCAAGCUUCUUAGAAUUUUCAAAUAUCUUCAUGUUCGACUUUGUCUCAUCGGCAUGGUUCUUCUCAAUGGGAGGAUCUAACUCAAACUUGACAUAUUUUCUCUUGCCAAAUUCAUUCACAACCGCUUUGUACCUGGCUGCGAGCUAUCACUUUCCUUCUUCACUUUUGGUACCCAUUUAAAGCGAAGAGCUUUUCUCUCGUGGUUCUCAUGCAUGACUUUUCUCCCAUCUCGCACGGCUUUGUUCCACAUCUUUUUCUGCCUAACUCCCCCAUCUUCAACACCUCUCACAUGCGCCCGCAUCGUGUAAAGAGUGUCCACCUUCUUACCUCUAGUGACCACUAGAGACCAUUUGGUGAGCUUCCAUUGACCUUCACUAAAGUAACUUUUAUAACCAUUCUCAUCAACUUACCAGCAGAGAUCAAAUUAAAACGAAUAUCUGGAACAUGUCUGACUUCUCUCAGCAUCAACUUGCAACCACUGUUAGUUUCCAAACAAAUAUCUCCAAUGCCUAUAAUCUUGGAUGCACUUCCGUUUUUCAUCCGCACAUGGCCAAAAUCACCACUACUGUAGCAUGUGAAGAUUUCACCACGCGAAGUAGCAUGGAACGAAGCACCCGAAUCAAUAAUCCAAUCAUUAUCAUGACACUUGGGUUUAUCAUCACAAACAAUAGCUACAUCAACGUCGGAUAGAUACACAAUCGAAUCUUUAUCCUCAUCUUUUUCCUUAGACUGCUCCUUUAAAAAUUUGCACUCUCGUCUUAUGUGACCCGGCUUCUGACAGUGAAAACAAAUUACUUCUUUUCUAUCUCUUGACCUUCCCCUGGAUUUGUCAUCUUCAGGAGAGUUUCUCCCUCUAUUUUUGCCCCUACUCUGUGCGACAAAAACUUGUGACUCAGCGCUAAUCACCAUAGUAUCUCCUCGCCUCUGUUCCUCGUUAAACAAACUAUCCUUAACUGUAUCCAUAGUCAGCUUGCCAUUAGGAGCGGAAUUACUCAACGAUACAACUAGCGUCUCCCAACUAUCAGGCAAAGAGCUCAACAACAACAAAGCCUGCAUCUCAUCGUCAAUUACCAUCUUCAUCGUACUCAACUGAUUUAUCAAACUCUGAAAAUCACUCAAGUGUUCUGCAACGGAGUUUCCAUCCUUGAAUUUAGAAUUCACAAGCUUCUUAAUCAAAAAAGCUUUAUUUUGCGCCGUCUUCCUUUCAUACAUGGACUCCAAUUUCUGCCAGAUAUCAUAGGCUUUAGUUUCCGUGGCAACAUAAUGAAACACACUUUGAUCAAUCCACGAUCUGAUCAGACCAAUAGUCUUCCUGUUCAUCUUGUUCCACUGCGCGUCACUCUUGUUUGUGGGCUUAACUCCAUCGUUCUCAAGUGGCUCGUAUAAAUCCUUGCAGUAAAGCAAAUCCUCCAUUCUUGGCUUCCAAAUUGCAUAAUUUGUAGCCUUGAGAUUAAUCAUGCAACCUGCUGUCCAAUCCUCCAUUUAAUUCGCACAAGAAAAUCACAAAAAAUAACCAAGCUUUGAUACCACUGUUGGGAAAAGUAUGCCAAAAAUAAUCUAUAUCCCAGGAAUUACUUUUCUGACUUUGUGAAAUUAAAUAUGAAAUCAACAAAACCAAUUAUGAGAACAAAAAUCACAAAUAACCAUCCACAAGAAAGACACCAAAUUUACGUGGAAAACCCUCUAAAAUUAAGAGGUAAAAACCACGGGUCAAACUUCGAAUCUCCACUAUAUCACUAAUAAUGGGCUUACAAUAAUCCUCUUAAGUUUUAUGCCCUAAAACUUGAGGUUACACAAUAAAUUGAGAUAGUACAAAUUUACCUUUAAUUAGGUUGAGAAACCUAAUUAUCUUUACCACCCAAAAAACACCCCAAGCAAUAAAGUCUUCAAGCUUUCAAUUGAACGGAGAUGAUGGCGGAUACACACGAACAACAAAUUGUAAUUCUGUCAAUUUAUUCUUUUGGUAUCUUCUUACUACCAAGUUUAUCUCAUAUCUCAUGUAUCAAAUAAGACUCCCUCAUAGCCUUAUUUAUAGUACUCUUCUUAAUCCAUGCCUAUUAUGAAUUAGAAACAAUUUAUUCUCCUAAUCAAAUUAGGGAUCACAUCUCCUUGUCUUGGUCAUCAACCACUCUUACAAGUAAAUCCUUUUUCAACUUGUUUCAUGGAAUCUCCAAUUCCAAUAUUGCUUCCAUUAACCCAAUUUCUAAUUGGAUUAAUAUCAAGUAAACCCAUUUACUUGCUCACAAAGAAAAUUAAUUCUUUUAUAUCUUGGAUUCUAUCUCAUGGUUGAGGACCCACACCCAACAAAAUAGUACUAAUGUAAUGUUAACUCAUUUUCUUUUAUUUUAUAAUUUAUGUUUCUAUAAGAAGUUAUUGAACUUCAACUCUUUUAAGAAACAAACUUUUAGGGAGGUUUAAUCUGUAAUGGUGAAGGUGUUUGGAUAAUCGGUUUUCAUGGAAGAGUUGGCAAAUAUGGGCUAUUAAGGAGGGGCUUACUAUACCACUGUUGGAAGUUAAGACCGACUCGAAAAAACAGAGUUUUUAAAAAGUGUGGAGUCGUGAAGCAGCCGUUGUAAGAAUAUACAUUCUUGAUAUUUCACAUGUGUGUGGUAAUAUAAGAGAUUAUUUUGUAGAGUAUGAGUUUGUUUUUUAGUCAGAUUUCUAAGUUAUUUGUCAGAUAAUUAAUACCUCUUACAUGGCACCUCUUGAUUUGUGCACUACCAAUAUCAAUUUCUGAUUGUAUUACAUGCAUUGUUAUUUUGCUCUCUUUCUCUCAAAAUUCCCCUUUAAAGUUCUGUGAUUUGAUGUUUAUUUAUUUGAUUUUUAUUAUUUGUUAUUUCAGAUUUUUGGGAAGGCAGAGUUUUUGAAUCCAGGGGGGAGUGUCAAAGAUAGGGUGGUGGUUCCACUUAUUACAUGGUAUUUGUUUCAUUACAUGGUAAGAGAAGUUUAUCUUUCUCUUUUAGUUGGAUAACCAAAAACUACAAAGUAAAGCAUUUCAAGCUCUUUAAUUUGCUAUCUUUGCAUUUUAUCUUUGAAGCUUAAUCAAGAGCCUCAAUGUGUUGGGCAUUGUUUUUCUGACAGUCAUAUAAUUUUGUUCUUGAAUAACUACCCCAUUUUUUUAAUGUCUUAAUGGAUAGUUACUAAUAACUUUAUUUGUAUUAUUUGUUGAGUUUGGGAUAUGAACAUGUGUUGGGUUUCAAGCCUUAAUCUCAUCUUUAAUUAUGCUUAGCCAAAGCCCAUUUGAUCUGCACUUUUCAAUUUAUGUAAAGUGAUUAGAUUAUGAUAUUUGUUGAAACCAUCAACUACAUUGGUGUUUAUAUCUAUUGAAGUGAUGAUACGUGAUGGGUUUUCUUUGGAAUAUUUAUUUUUGAUGUUUUCUUGGUUUUGUUACUGAAAAUGGUGUUUUUGAUUUAGAGAUUGGUUGAUAUGUGGUGUCCUCUAUAUUUUCGAUGGUGGAGUAUGGCAUUCAUUCUUAGAGGGUAAUUUGAGGUGAGUUAUUUGGUAAUUUUAGUAAAGAUUUCAACUUUAGCUUUGAGGAAACUGGAAAAAUGCUUCUAGAUUCUAUUUAUGGAUAAUUCUACUGUAUGAUGCU